GACGAACGCUGGCGGCGUGCUUAACACAUGCAAGUCGAACGGAAAGGCCCUGCUUUUGUGGGGUGCUCGAGUGGCGAACGGGUGAGUAACACGUGAGUAACCUGCCCUUGACUUUGGGAUAACUUCUGGAAACUGGGGCUAAUACCGGAUAGGAGCUCCUGCUGCAUGGUGGGGGUUGGAAAGUUUCGGCGGCUGGGGAUGGACUCGCGGCUUAUCAGCUUGUGGGUGGGGUAGUGGCUUACCAAGGCUUUGACGGGUAGCCGGCCUGGGAGGGUGACCGGCCCCAGAGGACUAGGGGAGGCCGCAGGAGGGCAGCUGGGGGAAGGGGGGGGAGUGUGAGCAAACAGGGCGGAGUCAGUGAAGAAGGCCGCCGGGUGGGGAAGGUCGGCUGUCGGGUAGGAACCCGUGUGCGCGUGGAAAGAUCGGAAUGUGACGGUAACUGAUAAGAAAGCGCCGGCUAACUACGUG
RNAcentral lists this ribosomal RNA (468 nucleotides) under uncultured bacterium. Its description in RNAcentral is "partial 16S ribosomal RNA". It matches the Rfam family "Bacterial small subunit ribosomal RNA", at positions 28 to 507 of the family's 1533-position model. The record is from RNAcentral.